Molecule: ribosomal RNA, 497 nt
Filed under: uncultured bacterium
Lineage: Bacteria
Description: partial 16S ribosomal RNA
Rfam family: Bacterial small subunit ribosomal RNA
Source: RNAcentral
GAUGAACGCUGGCGGCGUGCCUAAUACAUGCAAGUCGAGCGAACAGACGAGGAGCUUGCUCCUUUGACGUUAGCGGCGGACGGGUGAGUAACACGUGGGUAACCUACCUAUAAGACUGGGAUAACUUCGGGAAACCGGAGCUAAUACCGGAUAAUAUUUCGAACCGCAUGGUUCGAUAGUGAAAGAUGGCUUUGCUAUCACUUAUAGAUGGACCUGCGCCGUAUUAGCUAGUUGGUAAGGUAACGGCUUACCAAGGCAACGAUACGUAGCCGACCUGAGAGGGUGAUCGGCCAAACUGGAACUGAGACACGGUCAAGACUCCUACGGGAGGCAGCAGUAGGGAAUCUUCCGAAAUGGGCGAAAGCCUGACGGAGCAACGCCGCGUGAGUGAUGAAGGUCUUCGGAUCGUAAAACUCUGUUAUUAGGGAAGAACAAACGUGUAAGUAACUGUGCACGUCUUGACGGUACCUAAUCAGAAAGCCACGGCUAACUACGUG